Molecule: ribosomal RNA, 500 nt
Filed under: uncultured bacterium
Lineage: Bacteria
Description: partial 16S ribosomal RNA
Rfam family: Bacterial small subunit ribosomal RNA
Source: RNAcentral
AUUGAACGCUGGCGGAAUGCUUUACACAUGCAAGUCGAACGGCAGCACGGACUUCGGUCUGGUGGCGAGUGGCGAACGGGUGAGUAAUGUAUCGGAACGUGCCCAGUCGUGGGGGAUAACGUAGUGAAAAUUACGCUAAUACCGCAUACGAUCUAUGGAUGAAAGCGGGGGAUCGCAAGACCUCGCGCCAUUGGAGCGGCCGGUAUCAGAUUAGGUAGUUGGUGGGGUAAAGGCCCACCAAGCCAACGAUCUGUAGCUGGUCUGAGAGGACGACCAGCCACACUGGAACUGAGACACGGUCCAGACUCCUACGGGAGGCAGCAGUGGGGAAUUUUGGACAAUGGGCGAAAGCCUGAUCCAGCCAUUCCGCGUGCAGGAUGAAGGCCCUCGGGUUGUAAACUGCUUUUGUACAGAACGAAAAGGUUUCUACUAAUACUAGGAGCUCAUGACGGUACUGUAAGAAUAAGCACCGGCUAACUACGUGCCAGCCGCCGCGGUAA